RNAcentral lists this ribosomal RNA (253 nucleotides) under uncultured bacterium. RNAcentral describes it as "partial 16S ribosomal RNA". It matches the Rfam family "Bacterial small subunit ribosomal RNA", at positions 524 to 776 of the family's 1533-position model. The record is from RNAcentral.
GACGUAGGGCGCGAGCGUUGUCCGGAUUUAUUGGGCGUAAAGAGCUCGUAGGCGGCUUGUCGCGUCGUUCGUGAAAACCUGCAGCUCAACUGCAGGCUUGCGGUCGAUACGGGCAGGCUAGAGUUCGGUAGGGGAGACUGGAAUUCCUGGUGUAGCGGUGAGAUGCGCAGAUAUCAGGAGGAACACCGGUGGCGAAGGCGGGUCUCUGGGCCGAUAUUGACGCUGAGGCACGAAAGCGUGGGGAGCAAACAGG